AUGGCAAGCAUCGCGGCGGUCUUGCUCGUCCUGCUUCCGCUGCUCCUUUCCGCGGCCGUCGCCGGCGCGACGCAUCCCGACGGCGGCUUCGGCUUCCAGGCAACGCUCACGCACGUCGACGCCGGCGCGGGGUACACGGACGCGCAGCUGCUCUCCCGCGCGGUGCGCCGGAGCAGGUCCCGCGCCGGCGCGCUGCAGUCGCUGGCGACGGCCGCGGACGCGCUCACCGCGGCGCGCAUCCUGGUGCAGGCCAGCCAGGGCGAGUACCUGAUGAGCAUGGCCAUCGGCACGCCGCCGCGGUACUACUCCGCCAUCCUCGACACCGGCAGCGACCUCAUCUGGACGCAGUGCGCGCCGUGCAUGCUCUGCGUCGACCAACCCACGCCCUACUUCGACCCGGCGCGCUCCAGCUCGUACGCCAAGCUCUCCUGCUCGUCCCCGAUGUGCAACGCCCUCUACUACCCGCUCUGCUACCAGAACACGUGCGUCUACCAGUACUUCUACGGCGACAGCGCCAACACCGCCGGGGUGCUCGCCAACGAGACCUUCACGUUCGGCACCAACGGGACGUGGGUCACCGUGCCGAGGAUCGCCUUCGGGUGCGGCAACCUCAACGCCGGGUCGCUCUUCAACGGCUCCGGCAUGGUCGGCUUCGGGCGGGGGCCGCUGUCCCUGGUGAGCCAGCUCGGGGCGCCAAGGUUCUCCUACUGCCUCACCUCGUUCAUGUCGCCGGUGCCGAGCCGGCUCUACUUCGGCGCCUACGCCACGCUCAACAGCACCAGCACCAGCGACAGCGGGCCGGUGCAGUCCACGCCGUUCAUCAUCAACCCGGCGCUGCCGACCAUGUACUACCUGAACAUGACGGGCAUCAGCGUCGGCGGCGACCUGCUGCCCGUCGAGCCGUGGGUGUUCGCCAUCAACGAGGAGGACGGCACCGGCGGGGUCAUCAUCGACUCCGGUUCCACGAUCACGUACCUGGCGCAGCCGGCGUACGACAUGGUGCACGAGGCGUUCGUGGCGCAGGUCGGGCUGCCCCUGGCGAACGUCACGUCGCCAGACGACCUGAACACGUGCUUCAAGUGGCCGCCGCCGCCGAAGAGGAUGGUGUCGAUGCCGGAGCUCGUGCUCCACUUCGAAGGGGCGGACAUGGAUCUGCCGCUGGAGAACUACAUGCUGAUCGACGGCGGCACGGGGAACCUGUGCCUGGCGAUGGCGCCGUCCGACGACGGCUCCAUCAUCGGCAGCUUCCAGCACGCCAACUUCCACGUGCUCUACGACAACGAGAACAGCUUGCUGUCCUUCAUCCCUGCCCCGUGCAACCUAAUGAGUCUGCUCACGUAG
RNAcentral lists this ribosomal RNA (1341 nucleotides) under Triticum aestivum (bread wheat). Its description in RNAcentral is "partial small subunit ribosomal RNA". Lineage: Eukaryota; Viridiplantae; Streptophyta; Magnoliopsida; Poales; Poaceae. The record is from RNAcentral.